This 407-nucleotide RNase P RNA is filed under the name Deltaproteobacteria bacterium. RNAcentral's name for it is "RNase P RNA component class A". It matches the Rfam family "Bacterial RNase P class A". Rfam says of the family: Ribonuclease P (RNase P) is a ubiquitous endoribonuclease, found in archaea, bacteria and eukarya as well as chloroplasts and mitochondria. Its best characterised activity is the generation of mature 5'-ends of tRNAs by cleaving the 5'-leader elements of precursor-tRNAs. The record is from RNAcentral. Lineage: Bacteria; Pseudomonadati; Myxococcota; Myxococcia.
AAGGCAGGCCAGGCCAUCGCCGCGCGGGGUUUCAAAGCUCCGCGGGGAGGAAAGUCCGGGCUCCGCAGGGCAGGACGCUGGGUAACUCCCAGGGGGAGAAAUCCCCGGAAAGCGCCACAGAAAGUAAACCGCCCCGCGCGCGCUGGGGCGCCUUCGGCAACGGAGGCGCCGGUUGCGGCGGGGUAAGGGUGAAACGGUGGGGCAAGAGCCCACCAGUUGCCGCGGCGACGCGGCAAGCUCGGCAAGCCCCGUCCGGAGCAAGACCAAAUAGGGAAGCGUCUGAAGCCGGCCCGGCUGAGCUUCCGGGGCGGUUGCUGGAGGCCGCGGGCACUCGCGGUCCUAGCGGACUGAUGGCCGUCCCGCGCUUCAGCGGGAAACAGAACCCGGCUUACCGGCCUGCCUUUGCC